Suricata suricatta (meerkat) is the source of this 816-nucleotide long non-coding RNA. RefSeq lists it as uncharacterized. The record is from RefSeq and is a predicted model, not a curated record. Lineage: Eukaryota; Metazoa; Chordata; Mammalia; Carnivora; Herpestidae. The transcript has 3 exons.
GGGGCUCUCGUGGCUGGGGGAGGGGCGAGGAGUCCCGGGUUCCCAAGGUGUGACACAGCCCGUCCGCAAGCAGCCUGUCCGGGAAGGGACACGCCUCGGCCCGACCCCUGGGACGCAGCGGCUGCUCGGCCAACGCCUGCUGAAGCCCGUGUGACUCUAGGUGACGUGCUUCCUGAUGCAGAGCCGCCUUCGCCACCGCGUCCUCGCGGGCUCCUCCGGCCUGGACUCGGGCUGCGGCCGCAGAGCUCUCUAGUGGCAGCUUCUCCGCGGGGCUGGUGCGUCGUGCCCCGGAGGCGCAGGAUGGACGACGUUGCCGGCGGACGGUGUGGAUCCCCCACUAGACCAAGAGCUUGACAGAAGCAGAAUCGGGCUUGACGAGUCACAGACCAGCCGGCCGGCAGGUGCAGGAAAGAGACUGGCUCAGAGAGGUUCAGCACCUUGCCCAGAGUCACACAGCGAGUCCACACGGAGGUAAUUACCAACGACUCGCAGGGAGCGGCGUUCCCGCGGGCGACGCGCAGACAACGGGACGUGGCCCCCCGCACCCCAGGCGGGAACCGGCCACUGUUCUCUGCCUCUGCACACGUCCUUCAUCUAUCACCGCACCUCCUCUCCGUGAGCCCCACGAACCCACGGAAACGCCUGGACACGUGGGCCGCUGGUGUCUUCCUGCUCGACAUGAGUUCUGAAAAUGUGCGGGCCUUCUUGAAAAUCGCGUCCUAGGGGAGUCCGGGAGGCUCAGUCCAGCUUCGGCUCAGGUCACCAUCUCACAGUUGUGAGUUCGAGCCCCGCAUCGGGCUCUGUGCUGACAGCUCG